GUCAGAGUUCCCCCGCAGCCCCUCCGCGCAUCUCAAGAGGCUCCCCGCGCCGCUUGGAGUGCUGAGGGAUAGGAAGCAAGCGACGGUGAGUUGCGUGAAUCAAAGCACUUCGUUGAGCAUUGUGACUUUGAGGAAACAAUCAUCGAGGUGUUUGAAUUCCCAGGGACCAGAGAGUUGCCCUUGAGUUCUUCAUUGAGAGAAGUACGUCGUUCAUCGUGGAGGCAAAGAGUUUGUCACCAUCGAAGGGAAGAUCUUCAAUGGUACUCUGGGCCUCUCGAGGAAAGGAGGAGGAGGAGAGCCAUGAACCUUGGCACAUGACAACUGCUGUAGCAGUAGAUUUUGCUGCAGUAUUGGCUGCAUCGAGGGAUGCUUGAAGAGUGGUAUGUGAGAUGAUUUGUCCCUC
Molecule: long non-coding RNA, 403 nt
Organism: Malaclemys terrapin pileata
Lineage: Eukaryota; Metazoa; Chordata; Testudines; Emydidae
Exons: 3
Source: RefSeq, a predicted model, not a curated record